Molecule: ribosomal RNA, 300 nt
Filed under: uncultured Lactobacillus sp.
Lineage: Bacteria; Bacillati; Bacillota; Bacilli; Lactobacillales; Lactobacillaceae
Description: bacterial SSU rRNA
Rfam family: Bacterial small subunit ribosomal RNA (bases 57-300)
Source: RNAcentral
GUGCACGCGGGGCAUGGCGCCGGGGUAAGCGGGAGGGUGGAGGCAGUACUUGUAAGUACUGGUCGUAAAGCGGUGGUAGGUGGUACGGGAAGUCUGAUGUGAAAGCCCUGGGUUCAAGCCGGGAAUUGCAUUGUGAACUGGGGAGCUAGAGGGCGGUAGAGGGUAGUGGAAUUCCCGGUGUAGCAGUGAAAUGCGUAGAGAUCAGGAGGAACAUCUGUGGCGAAGGCGACUGCCGGGACCAGCACUGACACUGAGGCACUAAAGCGUGGGGAGCAAACAGGAUUAGAUACCCGAGUAGUC